Molecule: unclassified non-coding RNA, 539 nt
Filed under: Hevea brasiliensis (rubber tree)
Lineage: Eukaryota; Viridiplantae; Streptophyta; Magnoliopsida; Malpighiales; Euphorbiaceae
Source: RNAcentral
CUCAAUAGCAGCAUUUCCAACCUCCACUCUGAGAGCAGGAUAUUGCUUUAACUCCGGAGUCUCAUUGAUAGACUUGUGAACCAGCUCUUUCAAUAUGGCAUGAACCUGGAGAUUUGACAAAAAAUGCGUACGUAUAAGCCUGCAGUGCAGAAUUUAAAAAUUGCAAAUUGCACAUAUAGGAAAUCAACUACAGCGCACCCAGAAAAUUAAAUUCACAAACCAAUACUCUAGAUAUUUACUCAUUUACGAGAACUAUUAAAAAAUUAAGUUUUCAACUAAGAACCAAAGUUUAUUAAGCAGCCACAUAACCUAUUUUCACAUGUCUACAUCUUUUCACACCAUUUUCAUUAUGGAGAAUUCAUGAGGGAAAAACAAAAUCACCAAAACUGUACAUAUUCUUUUAGCUAUUACUACAUGUCACUUCUAGAUGGUCAGAAUGAAUCAAAUCUUCAUGGAUCAAAAAUAGAAAUAAGGUAAUGCAAAGUAGAAAUUUUUUGUUUCUAAUUUCCACGCAUACCGCAUCAACAGCAGCCUCAGCA